UACAGUCAUAUCACGCUGAAAAACCGGUUCCCGUAGGAUCACAGAAAUUAAGCAACGCCGGGCCUUGUUAGUACCUAGAUGGGUGACUGCUUCGGAAUAUCAAGUGCUGUAG
Non-coding RNA from Acanthosepion pharaonis, 112 nucleotides. NCBI's taxonomy places the organism in Eukaryota, Metazoa, Mollusca, Cephalopoda, Sepiida, Sepiidae. The record is from the annotation of a GenBank genome assembly.